This 460-nucleotide ribosomal RNA is filed under the name uncultured bacterium. Its description in RNAcentral is "partial 16S ribosomal RNA". It matches the Rfam family "Bacterial small subunit ribosomal RNA", at positions 338 to 795 of the family's 1533-position model. The record is from RNAcentral.
CCUACGGGUGGCAGCAGUGAGGAAUAUUGGUCAAUGGUCGGAAGACUGAACCAGCCAAGUAGCGUGCAGGAUGACGGCCCUACGGGUUGUAAACUGCUUUUAUACGGGAAUAACGCGCCUUACGUGUAGGGCUUUGCAGGUACCGUAUGAAUAAGGACCGGCUAAUUCCGUUCCAGCAGCCGCGGUAAUACGGAAGGUCCGGGCGUUAUCCGGAUUUAUUGGGUUUAAAGGGAGCGUAGGCCGCAUGUCAAGCGUGCUGUGAAAUGUCCGGGCUCAACCGGGGCACUGCAGCGCGAACUGGCGUGCUUGAGUGCGCGGAACGCAUGCGGAAUUCGUCGUGUAGCGGUGAAAUGCGUAGAUAUGACGAAGAACCCCGAUUGCGAAGGCAGCUUGCUGCAGCGGAACUGACGCUGAUGCUCGAAAGCGCGGGUAUCGAACAGGAUUAGAUACCCGGGUAGUC